This 462-nucleotide ribosomal RNA is filed under the name uncultured Thiobacillus sp. RNAcentral describes it as "bacterial SSU rRNA". It matches the Rfam family "Bacterial small subunit ribosomal RNA", at positions 916 to 1381 of the family's 1533-position model. The record is from RNAcentral. Lineage: Bacteria; Pseudomonadati; Pseudomonadota; Betaproteobacteria; Nitrosomonadales; Thiobacillaceae.
ACGGGACCCGCACAAGCGGUGGAUGAUGUGGAUUAAUUCGAUGCAACGCGAAAACCUUACCUACCCUUGACAUGUCCGGAAUCCCGAAGAGAUUUUGGGAGUGCUCGCAAGAGAGCCGGAACACAGGUGCUGCACGGCUGUCGUCAGCUCGUGUCGUGAGAUGUUGGGUUAAGUCCCGCAACGAGCGCAACCCUUAUCAUUAGUUGCUACGCAAGGGCACUCUAAUGAGACUGCCGGUGACAACCGGAGGAAGUGGGGAUGACGUCAAGUCCUCAUGGCCCUUAUGGGUAGGGCUUCACACGUCAUACAAUGGUCGGUACAGAGGGUUGCCAAGCCGCGAGGCGGAGCCAAUCCCACAAAGCCGAUCGUAGUCCGGAUUGUUCUCUGCAACUCGAGAGCAUGAAGUCGGAAUCGCUAGUAAUCGCAGGUCAGCAUACUGCGGUGAAUACGUCCCCGGGUCUU